AUUGAACGCUGGCGGCGGGCCUAACACAUGCCAGUCGAACGGUAACAGGAAGAAGCUUGCUUCUUUGCUGACGAGUGGCGGACGGGUGAGUAAUGUCUGGGAAACUGCCUGAUGGAGGGGGAUAACUACUGGAAACGGUAGCUAAUACCGCAUAACGUCGCAAGACCAAAGAGGGGGACCUUCGGGCCUCUUGCCAUCGGAUGUGCCCAGAUGGGAUUAGCUAGUAGGUGGGGUAACGGCUCACCUAGGCGACGAUCCCUAGCUGGUCUGAGAGGAUGACCAGCCACACUGGAACUGAGACACGGUCCAGACUCCUACGGGAGGCAGCAGUGGGGAAUAUUGCACAAUGGGCGCAAGCCUGAUGCAGCCAUGCCGCGUGUAUGAAGAAGGCCUUCGGGUUGUAAAGUACUUUCAGCGGGGAGGAAGGGAGUAAAGUUAAUACCUUUGCUCAUUGACGUUACCCGCAGAAGAAGCACCGGCUAACUCCGUG
RNAcentral lists this ribosomal RNA (490 nucleotides) under uncultured bacterium. Its description in RNAcentral is "partial 16S ribosomal RNA". It matches the Rfam family "Bacterial small subunit ribosomal RNA", at positions 30 to 507 of the family's 1533-position model. The record is from RNAcentral.